RNAcentral lists this ribosomal RNA (433 nucleotides) under uncultured bacterium. RNAcentral describes it as "partial 16S ribosomal RNA". It matches the Rfam family "Bacterial small subunit ribosomal RNA", at positions 29 to 507 of the family's 1533-position model. The record is from RNAcentral.
AACGAACGCUGGCGGCAUGCCUAACACAUGCAAGUCGAACGAGACCUUCGGGUCUAGUGGCGCACGGGUGCGUAACGCGUGGGAAUCUACCCUCAGGUUCGGAAUAACUCAGAGAAAUUUGAGCUAAUACCGGAUGAUGACGUAAGUCCAAAGAUUUAUCGCCUGAGGAUGAGCCCGCGUAGGAUUAGGUAGUUGGUGAGGUAAAGGCUCACCAAGCCGACGAUCCUUAGCCGGUCUGAGAGGAUGAUCAGCCACACUGGGACUGAGACACGGCCCAGACUCCUACGGGAGGCAGCAGUGGGGAAUAUUGGACAAUGGGCGAAAGCCUGAUCCAGCAAUGCCGCGUGAGUGAUGAAGGCCUUAGGGUUGUAAAGCUCUUUUACCCGGGAUGAUAAUGACAGUACCGGGAGAAUAAGCUCCGGCUAACUCCGUG